Molecule: long non-coding RNA, 1348 nt
Filed under: Triticum aestivum (bread wheat)
Lineage: Eukaryota; Viridiplantae; Streptophyta; Magnoliopsida; Poales; Poaceae
Description: long non-coding RNA (TAES_LNC003835)
Source: RNAcentral
UGAUACAUGAAUCUCUGGCGAUUUUACGGUCUAGCCAAUGAAAUCACAUAGAAGUAUUUGCAUAAUAGUAUGAUUUCAUAACUGCCUUCCCAAAGCGGGUAGACAGUGAGCGACAGUCUGCCCAUUUUAGACUUGAAGGCAAAGGCACAUAGCUAAAAGUUUUGCAAGCUGUUAUUGUCACAAAGUAUGACCAAUUGGUUCUGAUGGUUGCUCUUGCAUUCACGCCCAUAAUAAUUCUGACCUGCUCCUUAGCGCACAUCAUCGAUUGAUUGUUCAAGGUUACUUGCUAGGUAUCUCCAUGUGAUGGAGCUGAGAAAUACUGGAAACUGGUAGCAUAUGAUGGUCAAGAUCAUUCCUCUCACCAUUUGUUGGCCGGGAGCGGUGGUAGUCUCGGUCGUCUCACAUAUGUAAUACCUGAUGGCAGGCUUCGUCGUACCAACAGAUUGCUUGAGUCAAUCAUGCUCGUAUGGAGAUAUUUUUAGCUUUUUCGCGUAGAAGCACCUGCAUCCAAGCGGUCCUGCGUAUCGAGUAUGAGAGUUUAACAUUCGAGAAGUAAGAAAUAUUUACCCAUAGAGAAGCGACAAACAUGUCUUUCAUGGCAAGAGAUAAAUUCAAGGAUAAAUUACUACACCUUAUAAACUACAGUACUAUAUUGUUCUCUUAGUUCCACCAACUUAAAUUGCUAUCCAUGUUGUUACAGAAAAUUUUAGCUAUUAUAUUUCAGAUCGUAUGACGCGCUUUCGUUUACUUUGUAUGCACAGACUGUUUACCUCCUUGAUCUACAGUUUUAUAUCGCAAAUAGCUGAUCCAAACAGGGGCCAGUGGGUUACCUCUUGUCUUGGUCCUCUCACAAAGGUAUGGUUCACUGCACAUGGUUUCAAUCCUUGGCUUUCCGGCACGGUGGCAUUUACGACAGUGUCUACCUGAAAAACUGAACGAACCCGUGUGUCGAACACAACAUCAUCAAUAGAAUUCAUAGAUAAUGGCACUUGCUACUCAAUGCAUACAUGUGUACCUUCGUCAUUACUGCGGUAGAUCGGGUCGUCGGCUCUUGCCCCUUCCAUGAUGUGCCUAGUACUUGAGCCCUAUUAAGAGUGAAUUUUAAACGCAAGAGGAUUGUUAUUAGCAUGGUCCUGGCAAGAUUAGUCUUUAACAACAAACAAUCAGAUUAUGGUCAUAUUCACAUCUGAUAUCCAACAAUGCAUUGACAACCAAACCUGGAGCUAAUAGAGGGUACAUCAGAACUGAAUCUAUAAAUGUUCACCAAAUCUGAAUUUAUCCAUGCAAUCGGUACAGUUUCUGUAACCAUGUGUGUAUUAGUAGCAGGAAAAUAAUACUGGCAUACCAA